Non-coding RNA from Sus scrofa (pig), 2225 nucleotides. NCBI's taxonomy places the organism in Eukaryota, Metazoa, Chordata, Mammalia, Artiodactyla, Suidae. The record is from RefSeq and is a predicted model, not a curated record.
ACAAUCCCACAGGGGUCUACGAUGCCUGGAAGAUGAGCUCUUUAGGACACUCAGACAGAAUGGCAGGGAAGCCUAACCUCUUACUUUCCAGCACACAACUUCUUGUAACAGUGAGACCGAUUUACCCAUUCCUGGAGAUUGAACCUGGGCAAACCUUUUCAGCUUUUAGAGUGUUCCCCCAAAUAGAAAGAUAAUAAAUGAGCUUGUACCUCUUAUAAAAGCUCUGAGACUGAGGUUACCCACUAUCAAGACUCUUUUUCUCUGCAGGAUUCACCCAGAAGACUGGACCUUAUUCUACAAAAUAUGAUCCUCAGAGCAGCAAAGAAUGGCAGUACAGGGGAGCUUGGUGAAAUACACAAUCUUGGGCCCUGUCUAGGGAUCUAUAUUCUAGCAAGUCCCCAGGUAAGAUAGGUGGAGAGGAAGGUUGAGACUCACUGAACUAGAAAACUUCUACCAUAAGCUCUCCUGAUAGGGAAAAGCUGGAGAACUUGACCUUUGAACCCCAAAUGAUGCCUGUCAGCAGCCUUCCAUUCAUGUUCUGUAGGAGCUUAACUAAUUCUGUGUUAAUAAAUAUUAGGUCAGUUUGUUUGGGGUCCAGUUCCGGUAGGGUUCUUCAGCCAAUUCCUGAAUGUCUUUCCCUUAUUGAGAGGGCUAGAUGAGGAUUUCAGUGGGAUAAGAGGGAACAGUGCCAGUUCAUCUAGACAUCUUGCUCUGUGACCAAACCCUCCCCUUUGUCCUCCCACUGUGGGAAGCCCUAAUGUCUCAAUCUUUCUCCUCCAUAGAGGCAGCAUUCAACUAUCCCUCAUCAUGUGUUUUACAUAAUUGGAACAAAGAGGUGACAUCAUAUGCUGGAGAGAACCCGGCUUGGGGAUCAAAAAAUUUGGAAAAUUCUCCUAUUUGCUCUGUUGAACAAUGAUUAACACAGAGGCUGCAAAGGAAGAAAGUGCCUUAUUUGGGACUUAGGAAUUACAAUUCGGGAGACACAGACUCAGGCUGCCUCCAGGUUCACAGCUGGCAUCAGCACACUGACUGGAGAGUCUUGAGGUCCCAGCUAAGUCCACAGCACCAACUCUGCUGUGACAGUGGGAAGAACUGGAAUUUCAAACUGCAUGGUGACCCAGUUACACAUACAUCGACAGAUGAUUGGAUUAAGAAGAUGUUUUGUUUUUGGAAACAGAGAAAAGGCAGAAGGUACCACAAGAGUAAUUCACAGGUUAACAUCUGGAGUAUGUCCAGGCUUAUAUGCUGUCUGCACACAAUAUUUAAUGGUUGGCUCAAGUUUUCCUUCACCUAAGGCUGCAAGGAAAUUAACAUUUGCAAGAUUGUGGGUUUUGAGCCAAAUUACACAGUAAGUGCCAUUUCUUAAAGAAAAAAAGCUUGAGAUGUUUAUGUGAGUAAAUCUCUCAGAGCCAAUAGCUAAACAGUUAUUUGUAGUGCUCUGAAAAAUCUUCCUUCUUUUUCUUGUUCAAGGAACAGACUAUUAAAGAGAUUAAUAAACAGUGAUGAAUAUUAUUCUAUUCAGAAGAUUUAUUCAAUUAUACUCCAUUUUUUCUUCUCUUUCCACCUGGCUGAGCUGGCAGUUUUUGUAUUUACUUUUCUAAGUGUAAGCAUGCAAUGCACAUGAAGGUAUAAGCUAGUAGAAGAGGUGAGAAAUAUCUAAAGGCAUUUAUAUAUAUGGACAAAGGUGACCGCCAAUUCUGUAAUUUUUCAUGUGAUCAUAUUAUUAGAAGGAAUUUCAUGAGUUUUCUUUUGUAGGUUGGGUUUGUAUGUAGCCCAUAUAUAUAUGAUGUGAGGUGUGGUAUGAGGUAGAUGAAUGAAGAGAACAGCUCACUUGAUAUUGACUCUCCCAUUGGCUAUGUGCCAUCUCAAAUAUUAUUCCCUUCAACUGCAGAUGGUUUAAGUCUGCUAUUUUUCUCUGCCUUUCAAACUCCUCAAAGCUGGUAUGUCUCAGAGGUUCUUUCUCAAAAAUUUUCCAGUUUCAUUCCUUGUGUUUGGUACUAGGGCAGAUAGUGUCAUAUUUCCAUAAUUAACAAACACUUGUCCCCAAAUGUUCACAUUUAGAGUGGGUUUAGAUUGUUAAAUAUUUAAAAAACAUAUUUGAUAUAUUUUGAGAGAAAAGAGGUAAUGAAUUUCACCUUUAAAGAUGUGCUAAAAUAAAUACACAAUAAUUUCUAUAACAUUAUAACCAUAGACUCAGUGAAAGAAAUUCUUCUAUUGGAAGGAGA